This 301-nucleotide ribosomal RNA is filed under the name uncultured bacterium. Its description in RNAcentral is "partial 16S ribosomal RNA". It matches the Rfam family "Bacterial small subunit ribosomal RNA", at positions 509 to 807 of the family's 1533-position model. The record is from RNAcentral.
CAGUAGCCACGGUAAUACGAAGGGUGCAAGCGUUAAUCGGAAUUACUGGGCGUAAAGCGUGCGUAGGCGGUGAGUUAAGUCUGCUGUGAAAUCCCCGGGCUCAACCUGGGAAUGGCAGUGGAUACUGGCUCGCUAGAGUGUGUCAGAGGAUGGUGGAAUUCCCGGUGUAGCGGUGAAAUGCGUAGAGAUCGGGAGGAACAUCAGUGGCGAAGGCGGCCAUCUGGGACAACACUGACGCUGAGGCACGAAAGCGUGGGGAGCAAACAGGAUUAGAUACCCCGGUAGUCCCUGUCUCUUAUAC